GCUGAUAGGGACUGGUGGAGCUGUUGGCUGUCUGCGGAACUGAGUACAAGACUUUAGCCCUAUGGUAAAGGCACCCGUUUACUUUCUUGGUUUCUGUCUGUAUCCAGAGGACACACUGCUCCUUCCCACUGCUUAUUACGCUGGAUGGAAGUGUAGUCUCCUGCUUCAUUCAAUGAAUGCUGCUUGUCUCUGAAGGAAAAGGAUGUUGACUGGCUUCUUCCUUUCUAUCCUCGAGAGAUCAGGAGCAAUUGCUUCCCUCAUCACUUAGAAUGACAGACUGCUGGUUGAGAUCAAUCCUUUGAAUUUGCAGCGGUAUCUCACUAGGAAUUGCAAAUAAGAAGACUUCAGCUGUACUUAUGGUGACUGACCUCAGUAAAGCCCCAGAUGUCCUUUUUUGUAUGAAAUAGGAACUCUAGCUUACCAGCUAACUCUGCCGGAGGUUCCUCUUUCAAUGAAGCCUGGGGAAAGAGCUGGACUUUGUUUAUACAGGUGCUGCCCAGAAGAAAAGCGUACUCUUUCAAGCCUGGAGAGAAACGGAGUUAGCCGGCUGGAGAGAAUCCCAAUUUACACUGGGCGCUACUAUUUAAUGGAAGAAUUAGUAGACCUGUCUCCUUCUAACCUUGGCCCUAUGUCUCCAGCGUGGAGCAGAAAUGGAGUCACUGAGUUUUCUCUUCCAAACUCAGCUAAGUUUUAACGAGCUCCCUUCCAAGAUCCCUGAAGUUUUCAAUAAGCUGUGAACUUCCACAUGAUGUCAUAUCAUAUAGAGAAUCCACCACAUCCUUAGUUUUUCAACAGCCUUUUGAAGAGUGGAUACCAGAAAUAGACACAGCAUUCCAGUAUUGGUCUCAUAAUGCCAUAUACAGAGGUGGUUCGCUCAAGGUCUGCUGUGCCGGCUGUCUGCACCGAGCUGGGGCAGCACACAGGGAGAAUACACACAUGCAGCCGAACAUCUAACCACACUGGUGACCCCCGACUACUGAUCUGUGAAGAAUGACACCCGGUGUGGCAACAAUCACAGUGUGACACCUGGUGUGACAACAUGGAUGCUGGGGCAGAGUGUGUCUUGAGUCACAAUUGUGGGCAAGGGCUGGUGGAUAAACUGAACCACCCCAGGAGUAGCCUGGAGAAAGACCUCGGAGUCAGGAUUCCAUCUUUGCUGCUGUGAUCAUUAACUGUUGGUUCUAUUCCAGCGCUAAGUUAUUACCUGGGCUGGCUCAGUUACCCAGGCCAAUGAAAGGGAGCUUCUUGGAGCCAAAACUCGACCCAUUCUCUGACCCUCCCUCUCUACUCUCUUCCCACCCAUUUUGGCGGGGGGCGGGUAUCCCUGCUGUCUCCAGGGCACAUGCUCCACAGGUCUGAGUAGACCACAGUGAUGGGGAGAAUUGUUGCUCCCUUGCAGAGGGGUGUAGUCUGAGUCGCAAUCCAGCCCAUACAAUACAUUUAAAUGGUACAUCCUGUCUAUAGAGACCAACAGUGGCAGUUGUUCAAAAAGCUUGUGCCAGGCUUGUGUGCAUGUUUAAGGGGACAUGCCAGGAAUACAGUGUGGUGUAUAUCCCGAAAUAGGUCGCUGUUGCUAAUCCACGUGUGUAGCAUUGCAUGACUGAGUACAUUGCAAACAGGGAGUGAAGCUAAAAAAUGAAUCUAGGCUUUGCCCCGCCCCCCCACCAAAAAAAGUUCAAAGCAAUAUGCAUGCAAAUUUAAUUCCAAUCAGGCAAUUUUAGAUAUGAAAGUGAUGACGUGUCUUAUUUACACUUAAUGCCACUCUGGCAGCAUAAAGGGACCUUAAAGUGGACAGAAAUAGCCCCUUGACAGUACCACAUGCAGGGUGUCUCCCAACUGGUGUGAAACCAGCAUAAAGGCUCUUUGCUGUAAUCUGGGAGUAAGGCUAGCAGAGUGGGCAUGCUCCGGGUGGGAUGGAGGCUGGGAGAGAUAGGGAGUGGAUGGGUCAGAGUGCACUGCACUGUGGCUGUUCUUUGCUUUCUACUGUCCAUAGGGACAAAUGAAAAGCAGAGCAUAAAUUAGAAGUGUCACAGUUCAGGGCAACUGCACCUCUAUUCCCCAUCUGUGGUGCCGCAGGGCACCCACUUUUAGGAUCCUGGCUUCUCAGCCAUCACCUCUCUUGGGCGGAGACACGCAUCUCUCUCCCUCCUGACAGGGUUAUUUCCGUUCCCUGCCUACACUGUGAAUUCCCCAGCAAGUCAUACUGUCUCAGCCGGUCUGCUUUGUCUUCUCCUCGGAGGCUACAAACAGCAUAAUUACCCAUAGGUAAGUUACCACACAGCCCUUUCUAUGCAAGCACAUUUGUUCUUAUGGUGAAAACAUUAAAAACAAUAAACUACACACAUGCUAAUAAGCUUACCAGAGAUCCCCCCCAACUCCAACAAGGACUCUGGCAGGUGGUUAGUCCUUCAAACCCCACGCAGGGGAUUUUAUGUAGUUACAAAUUCAUAACACCUUUUGAUCAGAACAAGAGCCCCUGUGACUCUGUGAGUCACUCCUUAAUACGGUUUGGGUCUCUGAUCUUGUCCUCAUUUAAUAGGUGAUCAGGUUUCCUCCGCAGGGAGAAGCUUCAAAAGACUGAGUUCUUACGUAACCAGAAGAGGGUACAUUUGUAUACACCUUCCUCUAGAGAUUUCUUGGGAAACUCACUUAACUUUAAAGUUCAUUCUUGUCUGGCCCAUAGUUUCAAAUAGUUCUUUGAAGUUCUUAACGCUUCCCAGUGAUUACUUUAGUCACAUCUGCCCCUGGAGAACAUUAUAUACAAUCCCACUUUAAUGAAUAAGAUUUGCAUUUGCGUUUUUAAUACAGGUUUCAGAGUAGCAGCCAUGUUAGUCUGUAUUUGCAAAAAGAAAAGGAGUACUUGUGGCACCUUAGAGACUAACCAAUUUAUUUGAGCAUAAGCUUUAUGCUCAAAUAAAUUAGUUAGUCUCUAAGGUUUUCAAUACAGUGAUACAAAAAUCCUUCAACAUAAUUCAUUAAGCCAGGAUAUUGUAGGAAAUUGACAUGUUUGUCACAAGAAGUGUCUCCUAACCGUGCAUCUUAAUUGUUCGCAUAUGCGUAUGAUAGUUCCUAGUUCACAUAAGGGUUAUUCAGCGCUAGACUCAGACAUGCAUUUACAUUUUGAAGGUGCCAAAGUAUCAAUUACCUUUCCAGCAAAAUGGUAUGUUAAUUUAGAAGGGAAGGAAGCAUUUACUUACUGACUUCAAUGCAAAAAAUGAUUUGCACUGUGAAUGUCUGCAAAAGAUUGCCAGAUUGUCGAUCAUAAGAAGAAACCAGGGCUGGUGCAGAGUUCCUGAGUGGAGAAAGUUUGAAAAUGCCUCCUCUGUAACAAUCUAUUAUAUAUAAUCGUGAUGAUCAAAUUGCUGAGGUUGAAGAUGACACUGACCUCCAAAGCCUGCUUACUUCCCACAAUUUUAAUGGACACUGCCCUUUAUUCCUGACAAAGUGGAAUCAGGUCUUUAUCUAUCUAAGGUACUUCUCUGGCCCAUUUUUCCAUAAUAUCUGAGCAUAUUACAAUCUUUAAUUUAUCCUCAUAGCACCCCCUGUGAGCUAGGGAAGUACUCGUAUCUCCAUUUUACCAGUGGGGGACUGAUGCCCAGAGAGCAAGGUCCUCAAAGGUAUUUAGGCUCCUAACGUCCAUUGAUUUCAAUGGAAACGGAAGGUCAGAGCCUCAAUUCCUUUGAGGAUCAAGGCCUAAGUGACUUGUCCAAGGUCACACAGGAAGGUGAUGGCAGAGCAGAGCCUUGAAGCCAGGACUUUCAAGUCUUAGCCUUGACCCUAGCUACUGGAUCAUCCCACCUCUGUCUCAGUGGAUUUACACGUGGGAAUUUUUCUGCUUUGAAAUGAAUUGGGUAAUCUCUGUAGGCCAAUAUCAUACAUAUGGAUUGCUGUGUCAAGAGGGAUUUUUGGUUUGGUGGUUCUCUUUUCAAUUUUGAUAAUAUUGUGUUUGUUUAUGCAAACCCCUAGAUAACAAGUUUAUAUAUAAUAUACUAAUUGUCACGAUCAGCGGUUUAAAUGUAACCUUUCCCCCAAAGAGGUUGUGGUGCACGCUUGUAAACUACUUCUUGUUUUUCCACUUUGUAGUGAAAAAAGAGACUUCUGGUCUUAAAGGAGGAGAACUGAGGUCCCUAUUUCACUACAGGAAUAAAGCAAGGACUGAAAUCCAGCCUCCACUUGAGAAACGUCCUUGGUCUCCUCCUAGGUUAAAACCUUUCAUUACACAGACACCGACUUUAUUCUUUCCGGGUGGGUGCUCCACCCCCACUCCACCCUGAGGCCACGCCCCCAUGCUACCCCUUCCCCUAAGGCCCCACGCUCGCUGUACCUCUUCCCUUCCCGUCCCCGCUCCUCCUCCACCCCCGAGCAUGCCCCGUCCUCGCUCCGCCUCUUCCUGCCCCCACGCCACCCCUUCUCCCAGGACCUACCGAACAGCUGAUCAGUGGGUGGCUGGUGGCACCCACUGUUUUCUUUGCCCGUGGGUGCUCCAGCCCUGGAGCACCCACAGAGUCAGCACCUAUGUUUCAUUAUAUCAGAUGAGUCCUCGUUCUUGAGGGUCAGGAGCCCACAUUAUCAUGUGAAAUUAAUUGAUGGGAAUAUAAAGGAGGGUCACAGUAAUCGCUAGGACUGUUUUAAAGUUAAAAGUUGAACUGCAUAUCUGCACAUUUUCACCAGACUGCACAUGCUACAGCAACCCCAAGGCCUGAUUUCUGUGCUCACCGGCACAGCUUUACACCUGUGUUACUCCAGAGAUGUAAGUGGAAUUACUUGUGUUGUACACCUAAGUUAAUGAGAGCACAAUCAGGGUGCACUGAAAGACUGAUGUGGAAACCAGGAGGAAAACAGGGCUUUAUCCCAAAUGUCCUAUUAGGUUUAUAAUACCAGUAAGCUCAUUUUUGUUUUACCUACUCAGCACAUUCUACAGUGUGCAUGAACAUUCCUACCGCCCCCUUAAAUUCAAGCAAAUUAAGGGCACAUAUUGAACUACUUGUUAUUAAUAUAUCAGCUCUACUUUCUAAUUCCUAAUUCACGCUUGAAAUUGAUUAAAAAUGCUAAUCCUUGACAAGGCUGCAAAAAUUUAUGCUAAUGUACUGACGUGCUCUUUUAAGAAACUUUGCGUUUCUUGUUUAUAAAUUAAAUUUAAACAGAACAUUCAAGGGCCUUCCUAAUUUAGCAUGGAGGGGGCAAGGAUUUACAUGAUGAAACGCUACAUGCCCUUGGGCUUACUGUACAGUAGGGAUGAAAAGGGCUGACAUUACAGUUUCCUAAGGUUGGGGAAAGAGAUGAGGGUGUCAUUAAGAUUUUAAGUAGGUUUCAUUAGCUUCUCUUAGCCUCAUGGCAAAGCUAGAUACAAGGGCAACCUGAAUUUCACUCGACAGUGCAGAGAGUUGUAAAUUUCACCCUCUUUCUCACAUGGGGGGUCCAGCAAUUAAGCCCCCUAAGGCAGUGAGUUGGCCUCCAUUGGGGGAUUCACGAGGGUAAGGCAAUGUUAGGAUGGCAUUUUGGCAUCAUACUGCCACAGAAGGGGAUCACCGGGAAGCAUUGUGGUAGAAGGCCUGGUGCACAUGGGGAGGGUGUAUGCUGCUAUACCCCUGUACGGGGUGCCGCACAGUCUCACUCCCCCCACAGCAUCCUGCAUACCCAGCCAGCUCUGCCGGGCAGCGCAUAGUGGAAUGGCCAUGGCUCCACCCUCUCCCUCCCUGCCUCCUUUGGCCCUCCUCAGGGACUUGAAUUUUGCAGGGGGCUAAUGGGCUGUGCAAGGGGGAAGAAAGGCUGUUUACAGAACCCCACAUUCUGCAUCCCAUAAAUCCAGGCAGAGACUGGUCUUUCGUCCGUACCGGUAAUACAGUCUCAUAUCCUAUCAUGUGUCCAUUAUAUUGAAAGAGAAUUUAUAAAUCCCUCAGUCUGCCACCAGACCCACAGGAAGUGUCAGCUGAACAGUGACAAUGACACAUAAUGACAGGUUUCAGAGUAGCAGCCGUGUUAGUCUGUAGCCCACGAAAGCUUAUGCUCUAAUAAAUUUGUUAGUCUCUAAGGUGCCACAAGUCCUCCUGUCCUUUUAAUGACACAUACAUGUAACAAUCUCUUUAGGUUGGUAUUUGCUUCCUGUGCCUUCAUCCUGCUACUGUUCAUGGCUGUGGGGCACCAUACGCAAUGAGCACUGUGUAAACCUCCAUUGAUUCAGAUGGUGUGUUAAUUGCUAGAGUGAGAAACCCUUUCUUAUUCAUUUUGGUCUUGUGAAUGGGAAUCUGCAUCAGUGACACACUGCAGGAGCUGGGGGAGAAGGAAACAAGGAUGUUUACGUGAACGUAAAGUGCUAGAUGGCUUUUGCAGCAUGAAGGUCAGGGCUGUGCAAAAGUAUGAAGGCCCUGUUCUGCCACCAUUAGUCCCCCAGAGUGGUACAUGGAAUCCCACUAAAAUCAAUGGGACUAAUCAGCGAGUAAGUUGCAACUGCUCAUCAGGAGUGAGAGAGGUGGAAUCAUAUCUUUAGCGGCUCUGAAAACAAAGAGCCUGAUUCUUAUUACUGUUACUCAUAGUGAGUAGUACUUGCAUUUAGUCCUGCACCCACUUAAGUCAACUGCAAUCUUCCCAUUCAUUUAUGGGGGAUUUUUCAAAAGUGUCUAGGCAACUUAGGAACACAAGUCCAAUUGAUCCAACUCACAUAAGCAUUUUGUAAAUCCCUCCCUUAAUUGGUGCAGGAUCCAGCCCCAUGGUACCUCUCAAUGUAAGUAGCAGGGACAGACUGCAACAUAAUAUUUUCAAGGUUCAACCCUAAGCUUGUUGCAGUCAAUGAGGAGUCUAGCUGUUGACUUCUGGGAAGUGGUGGACCAGGCUCUACUUCUGCAAAUUUUAAAAUUUUAAAAUUUUAAGCCAGUAGACUCCUGUCAUAAAUUGCUCAGAAACACACAGCUAAAUCUCCCUUAAAUCUUUUCAACUACCUCCUCCCUUCAUCCCUGAAUUGUGAAAUCUUUGGAUGUUCUUUUUAUUCAAAACAUGUCAUCUGCAGAAAAAUAAAUAACCCAAA
Long non-coding RNA from Chelonia mydas (Green sea turtle), 7021 nucleotides. RefSeq lists it as uncharacterized. The transcript has 10 exons. The record is from RefSeq and is a predicted model, not a curated record. NCBI's taxonomy places the organism in Eukaryota, Metazoa, Chordata, Testudines, Cheloniidae.